AAGUAUAAUGUCAUAAUCAUUGUGAUGUCAUUAUUAUUAUGUCAUAUAUUUAG
Molecule: microRNA precursor, 53 nt
Filed under: Ciona intestinalis (vase tunicate)
Lineage: Eukaryota; Metazoa; Chordata; Ascidiacea; Phlebobranchia; Cionidae
Description: microRNA cin-mir-4172 precursor
Source: miRBase by way of RNAcentral